GACGAACGCUGGCGGCGUGCCUAAUACAUGCAAGUUGAGCGAUGAAGCUUGGUGCUUGCACCAAUUUGAAGAGCAGCGAACGGGUGAGUAACGCGUGGGGAAUCUGCCUUUGAGCGGGGGACAACAUUUGGAAACGAAUGCUAAUACCGCAUAAUAACUUUAAACAUAAGUUUUAAGUUUGAAAGAUGCAAUUGCAUCACUCAAAGAUGAUCCCGCGUUGUAUUAGCUAGUUGGUGAGGUAAAGGCUCACCAAGGCGAUGAUACAUAGCCGACCUGAGAGGGUGAUCGGCCACAGUGGGACUGAGACACGGCCCAAACUCCUACGGGAGGCAGCAGUAGGGAAUCUUCGGCAAUGGACGAAAGUCUGACCGAGCAACGCCGCGUGAGUGAAGAAGGUUUUCGGAUCGUAAAACUCUGUUGGUAGAGAAGAACGUUGGUGAGAGUGGAAAGCUCAUCAAGUGACGGUAACUACCCAGAAAGGGACGGCUAACUACGUG
RNAcentral lists this ribosomal RNA (497 nucleotides) under uncultured bacterium. RNAcentral describes it as "partial 16S ribosomal RNA". It matches the Rfam family "Bacterial small subunit ribosomal RNA", at positions 28 to 507 of the family's 1533-position model. The record is from RNAcentral.